Molecule: non-coding RNA, 73 nt
Organism: Apaloderma vittatum (bar-tailed trogon)
Lineage: Eukaryota; Metazoa; Chordata; Aves; Trogoniformes; Trogonidae
Source: Rfam
GGCUGAUUAGCUCAGUCUGUUAGAGCAUGGUGCUGAUAACGCCAAGGUCGUGGGUUCGAUCCCCGUUCGGUCC